AGAGCGAACGCUGGCGGCAGGCCUAACACAUGCAAGUCGAGCGCCCCGCAAGGGGAGCGGCAGACGGGAGAGUAACACGUGGGAACGUACCCCUCAGUUCGGAACAACCCAGGGAAACUUGGGCUAAUACCGAAUACGUCCGUAAGGAGAAAGAUUUAUCGCUGAAGGAUCGGCCCGCGUCUGAUUAGCUUGUUGGUGAGGUAACGGCUCACCAAGGCGACGAUCAGUAGCUGGUCUGAGAGGAUGAUCAGCCUCACUGGGACUGAGACACGGCCCAGACUCCUACGGGAGGCAGCAGUGGGGAAUAUGGACAAUGGGCGCAAGCCUGAUCCAGCCAUGCCGCGUGGGUGAUGAAGGCCCUAGGGUUGUAAAGCCCUUUCGGCGGGAAGAUAAUGACGGUACCCGCAGAAGAGCCCGGCUAACUUCGUGCCAGCAGCCGC
Molecule: ribosomal RNA, 440 nt
Filed under: uncultured bacterium
Lineage: Bacteria
Description: SSU rRNA
Rfam family: Bacterial small subunit ribosomal RNA
Source: RNAcentral